GCAUCGGUAGUUCAAUGGCGAGAAUGCUCGCCUGCCACGCGGGGUUCGAUUCCCGGCCGAUGCA
This is a non-coding RNA of Cordylochernes scorpioides, 64 nucleotides long. Lineage: Eukaryota; Metazoa; Arthropoda; Arachnida; Pseudoscorpiones; Chernetidae. The record is from the annotation of a GenBank genome assembly.